RNAcentral lists this long non-coding RNA (451 nucleotides) under Chinchilla lanigera (long-tailed chinchilla). RNAcentral's name for it is "lncRNA (ENSCLAG00000028228.1)". The record is from RNAcentral. Lineage: Eukaryota; Metazoa; Chordata; Mammalia; Rodentia; Chinchillidae.
UUUAAAACACAAUUGCAAAGCAAAAAGGGAGAAUAUUUUUACUUUUACAUGCAUGAUCAGAUCUUUCUAUCUUUACCUUAAAUUUUUAAAACCUGGUUGCAGAACUUCAUUGGCAAAAGGACAAACCUGAGAACCAUGCCUCGGGCUCAAGUCCUAUAGAAGGACAUCCAAACAGCAAAGUGGGAGAGCCCAGUGCAGUUAACACGGAUUGAGGGUUUGCUUGUGUGUUAACAGACAAUAGAGCACCAUUAUGGCUGCCCUCCUGGAGUGUGGGAACAGUGAGAGAGGAACAUCCUGGUUCUGUGGUGCUUGUUCCCAUCCAGCCCUCUAGCGCGAGCAUUCUCAAGGAUGAUCCUGGAGGAGAGGCCACCAGCACAGCCUGCAGAUAACUUGCUGUAACAUUAUCGAGGGAAGGAAGAACGCUUUACCAUCAGGAAAUCUUGGAAAAGCC